Molecule: ribosomal RNA, 396 nt
Filed under: uncultured bacterium
Lineage: Bacteria
Description: partial 16S ribosomal RNA
Rfam family: Bacterial small subunit ribosomal RNA
Source: RNAcentral
AUACGUAGGUGACAAGCGUUAUCCGGAUUUACUGGGCGUAAAGGGCGUGUAGGCGGUCUUGCAAGUCAGAAGUGAAAUUCCUGAGCUCAACUCGGGCGCUGCUUCUGAAACUGCAGGACUUGAGUGCUGGAGGGGAUAGCGGAAUUCCUAGUGGAGCGGUAAAAUGCGCAGAUAUUAGGAAGAACACCGGUGGCGAAGGCGGCUAUCUGGACAGUAACUGACGCUGAGGCGCGAAAGCGUGGGGAGCAAACAGGAUUAGAUACCCUGGUAGUCCACGCUGUAAACGAUGAAUGCUAGGUGUAGGAGGUAUCGACCCCUUCUGUGCCGGAGUAAACACAAUAAGCAUUCCGCCUGGGGAGUACGGCCGCAAGGUUGAAACUCAAAUGAAUUGACGGG